UACGGAGGGAGCUAGCGUUGUUCGGAAUUACUGGGCGUAAAGCGCGCGUAGGCGGCUUUGUAAGUUAGAGGUGAAAGCCCGGGGCUCAACUCCGGAACUGCCUUUAAGACUGCAUCGCUUGAAUCCGGGAGAGGUGAGUGGAAUUCCGAGUGUAGAGGUGAAAUUCGUAGAUAUUCGCAAGAACACCAGUGGCGAAGGCGGCUCACUGGCCCGGUACUGACGCUGAGGCGCGAAAGCGUGGGGAGCAAACAGG
Molecule: ribosomal RNA, 253 nt
Filed under: uncultured bacterium
Lineage: Bacteria
Description: partial 16S ribosomal RNA
Rfam family: Bacterial small subunit ribosomal RNA
Source: RNAcentral